GUAAUGGCUUACCAAGGCAAUGAUCAGUAGCUGGUCUGAGAGGAUGAUCAGCCACACUGGGACUGAGACACGGCCCAGACUCCUACGGGAGGCAGCAGUGAGGAAUUUUCCGCAAUGGGCGAAAGCCUGACGGAGCAAUGCCGCGUGAAGGAUGAAGGCCUAUGGGUUGUAAACUUCUUUUCUCAGAGAAGAAUAUUGACGGUAUCUGAGGAAUAAGCAUCGGCUAACUCUGUGCCAGCAGCCGCGGUAAGACAGAGGAUGCAAGCGUUAUCCGGAAUGAUUGGGCGUAAAGCGUCUGUAGGUGGCUUCAAAAGUCUCCUGUCAAAGAUCAGGGCUUAACCCUGGGCCGGCAGGAGAAACUCUGAGGCUAGAGUUUGGUAGGGGCAGAGGGAAUUCCCGGUGGAGCGGUGAAAUGCGUAGAGAUCGGGAGGAACACCAAAGGCGAAAGAC
RNAcentral lists this ribosomal RNA (450 nucleotides) under Chlorella sp. RNAcentral's name for it is "bacterial SSU rRNA". It matches the Rfam family "Bacterial small subunit ribosomal RNA", at positions 257 to 723 of the family's 1533-position model. The record is from RNAcentral. Lineage: Eukaryota; Viridiplantae; Chlorophyta; Trebouxiophyceae; Chlorellales; Chlorellaceae.